ACGUAGGGUGCAAGCGUUAAUCGGAAUUACUGGGCGUAAAGCGUGCGCAGGCGGUUUUGUAAGACAGAGGUGAAAUCCCCGGGCUCAACCUGGGAACUGCCUUUGUGACUGCAAGGCUGGAGUGCGGCAGAGGGGGAUGGAAUUCCGCGUGUAGCAGUGAAAUGCGUAGAGAUGCGGCGGAACACCGAUGGCGAAGGCAGCCCCCUGGGCUGAGAUUGACGCUCAGGCACGAAAGCGUGGGGAGCAAACAGGA
RNAcentral lists this ribosomal RNA (253 nucleotides) under uncultured prokaryote. RNAcentral describes it as "partial 16S ribosomal RNA". It matches the Rfam family "Bacterial small subunit ribosomal RNA", at positions 525 to 777 of the family's 1533-position model. The record is from RNAcentral.